GAGAAGAACGCAGCGAAAUGCGAUAAGUAAUGUGAAUUGCAGAAUUCAGUGAAUCAUCGAAUCUUUGAACGCACAUUGCGCCCGCCAGUAUUCUGGCGGGCAUGCCUGUUCGAGCGUCAUUUCAACCAUCAAGCCCCGGGCUUGUGUUGGGGACCUGCGGCUGCCGCAGGCCCUGAAAUGCAGUGGCGGGCUCGCUGUCACUCCGAGCGUAGUAGUUACAUCUCGCUCUGGGCGUGCUGCGGGUUCCGGCCGUUAAAAGCCUUAUUUACCCAAGGUUGACCUCGGAUCAGGUAGGAAGACCCGCUGAACUUAAGCAUAUCAAUAAGCGGAGGA
Molecule: unclassified non-coding RNA, 333 nt
Filed under: soil metagenome
Description: partial contains 5.8S ribosomal RNA, internal transcribed spacer 2, and large subunit ribosomal RNA
Rfam family: 5.8S ribosomal RNA (bases 3-119)
Source: RNAcentral